This is a long non-coding RNA of Gorilla gorilla gorilla (western lowland gorilla), 519 nucleotides long. RefSeq lists it as uncharacterized. NCBI's taxonomy places the organism in Eukaryota, Metazoa, Chordata, Mammalia, Primates, Hominidae. The transcript is spliced from 3 exons. The record is from RefSeq and is a predicted model, not a curated record.
UUGGAUAUGCCAAGGAGAAGCCACAAAGGCCUUCCUUUAUGUGAAAAGGUUAAGGUUCUCAAGCCAAUAAGAAAAGGAAAAAAAAAUUGUAUGCUGAGGUUGCUGAGAUCUGGUUUAAGAGUGAACCUUCUAUCAACGAAAUGGUGAAGAGUAUAUUGUUAACAAAAGCUCUCUGAGGGCAGGAUUUUUUUAUGGUGUUCACUGGGCCAGGGACCAGGCAAGCCACUCAAAACUGCGGGGUGAACGAGUGAGUGACUCUCCACCCAGGCUGAAGAGCAGCAGCAGAGAACACCCACAUCUGGGGCCCAGCAACCCUCUUUAAGCGCCUGCAGGAGAAGGGGAAUGUGCAGGUCACUUGAGAGGCUCUUUUGAGAAAUGGCUGAAUCCAAGAUCGGGGCAGAAGAAGUACAAGACAUGUCUGAACUAUCUUUUUGUGCCACAAAAGUAAGGAAAUGUUCAAAGAAUCCCGACAACAUGUCCAAAGGACACAGGAGCUCCCACUGGCCAAACCUGGGACAA